Molecule: RNA transcript, 700 nt
Organism: Alnus glutinosa
Lineage: Eukaryota; Viridiplantae; Streptophyta; Magnoliopsida; Fagales; Betulaceae
Exons: 2
Source: RefSeq, a predicted model, not a curated record
GUUUGGGGUCAUUAUUUUGGAUGAUCUGAACUAAAUCGAUUGCUAGUGGGACUGCAUAUCUAAUGUUGUCAGUUCUUAACUUCUAAAUGUCAGUUGAUGAAUUUAAAUGCUGUUUUGCUUUCCUUUUCUUUUCUUUUUUUUUUCUUCCUGUUCUCCUUUCUAUUCAUCUUCCUCAUAUAGUUUCAGGUUACAAGUCAUUGUGAUUGAUUUUAUCGUUUUGGUGGGUUCUGUCCAGGUGAUUUCAAUAAUGAGGAUGAUGAUUGCUGGACUCCAGAAGAAUUUGAGGGUCAUGUGGUGAAAGAGCGUGAAGGAAAAAGGUCACUUUUGACUUUGGAUUUGCAAGUGACACUGAAGGAUAUGGUGGAGGCACUCGUAUACGUGAAGCAAAAACAGAAAGCCUUCACUGUGAAGCAAUAUGGAUGUCUUGUUGGAAUGAUUGUAAAUUUGUAACUUUUUGCAAGACUUGCAAUAGUGUAUGCAUAACUGCAUGUUUAUCCGCUCAUCAAAAUCUCAAAAUUUACUAGAUUUGCUUCUACCAGAUAAGUCCUAUGCUUCAAACGCCAUAGCCUUUGAUGGUCAUCCUCCCUAAAACUACAAGAAAAAUAAAAUUGAUGAACCAAAAAGAUAGAGUGCACAACUGAUGCACCAAAAAGAUGAAAAAAAAAAAGUGCAAAUAAAAUGAUUCUUGUAGUUUCUUUAA